CUCUUCCAUCUCUUGUAUUCUGUUGCUGAUGCUGGCAUCUAUGGUUCCUGAUUUCUUUCCUAGGGUUUCUAUCUCCAGCGUUGCCUCACUUUGGGUUUUCUUUAUUGUGUCUACUUCCCUUUUUAGGUCUAGUAUGGUUUUGUUCAUUUCCAUCACCUGUUUGGAUGUGUUUUCCUGUUUUUCUAUAAGGACUUCUACCUGUUUGGUUGUGUUUUCCUGUUUUUCUUUAAGGACUUGUAACUCUUUAGCAGUGUUCUCCUGUAUUUCUUUAAAUGAGUUAUUAAAUUCCUUCUUUAUGUCCUCUACCAUCAUCAUGAAAAAUGCUUUUAAAUCCAGGUCUACCUUUUCAGGUGUGUUAGGGUGCCCUGGACUGGGCAAAGUGGGCGUUCUGGGUUCUGAUGAUAGUGAGUGGUCCUGGUUUCUGUUAGUAGGAUUCUUACGUUUACCUUUUGCCACCUGGAUGUCUCUGGAGUUAGUUGUUAUAGUUGUCUUUGUUUAGAGAUUGUUCCUCUGUUGAUUUUGUUACCCUCUAUCAGCCGACGUGGGAGACUAGCUCUCUCCUCUGAGUUUCAGUGGUCAGAGCAGUCUCUGCAUGCAAGCUCUCCUCUUUCAGGGAAGGUGCACAGUUAUCUGGUGUUUGGACCUCCUUCUGGCUGAAGAUGAAGGCCCAAAACAGGAUCUUUCCCAGAAGCUGUGUUGCUUUGGCCAGGAAGGUGGCCGGUUGUCUGGAGCCGAAAAUGGCGCUGUCUCAGAAGCUCUGUGGCUCUCGCCUUUCCCAGAAACUGCUGGCCUCUGUAUUCCACACCUUCACCAGUGCAGCCUCUUGCUCUUAAGGGACAUGUUUGUCUUUGUUUGUUAACUGGUCUUUUUUCCUUGCAGAUUUUAAUAGUCUCUGUUUGUUCUGUACAUUUAGUGUUUUGAUUAUUGUGUGGCAGGAGGAUUUUCUUUUCUGGUCUAAUCUAUUUGGUGAUCUAGAAACUUCUUGUAUGUUUAUAGGCCUAUCUUUCUUUAGGUUUGGAAAUUUUCUUCCAUAUUAAAAAUAUUCUCUGGGCCUUUGAGCUGAGAAUAUUCUUCUUCUAUUUCUGUUAUUCUUAGGUUCGGUCUUUUCAUACUGUUCUAGAUUUUCUGGAUAAAUUGUGUCAGGAAAUAUUAGAUUUGUAAUUUGUCUGACAGAUGUAUUGAUUUCUUCUAUAGUAUCUUUGAUGCCUGAUAUUCUCUCUUCUGUUUCUUGGAUUCUGUAGGUGAUUAUUGUGUUUGUGCCUUCUGUUACUUGGUUUUCCAUCUCCAGGAUGUUUUUCUGUUUGUUUGUUUUUCUUUUCUUUUGUUCUGUUUUUUUUUUGUUGUGGUGGUGGUUAUUUUAUUUUAUUUCUUCUUAUUCCCAUUUUCAGGUCUUGAACAGUUUUAGUAAUUUCCUUCACCUGUUUGAUUACAUAAUGUUUUCCUGGACUUCUUUAAUGGAUACAUUAAUUUCCUUUAAGGCUUCUAUCAUCUUCAUAAGAUUAGACUUAAGCUCAUUUUCUUAUGCUUCAGCUGUUUUAGAGUAUCCAGGGCUUACUGGCUGGAUCAGGUGGCUAGGAUGGCUGGGAUCAGGUGGUGCCACAUUUCUUGGCUCUUGUUGAUUGUCUUCUUACACUGGCCUUUACCCAUCUGAGUGUGCCUGGUUCUGGCAAGCGUCUGUGACUUCAGGAAGAGUUGUGGGAUGAAAAAUGGAGGGCAGGAACUGGGUGCAGUUUAUAAAUUCUUGGUAUGCCUUAUGGGUACUUGGUAGAUAGGAAAAGGAGAGGUUUUAACUUGUUUGUUCCUGAUAUCAGCAGGACUCUGAGAAUUCAGAUAGAACUGUAGGCUGGAAGAUGGACUUCCAGGACAUGGAACAUCUCACUGCUACUAGGAUUUUCGAUGAUCAGUUGUUAUCAACUCAAGAAGAAAGAAGAUCAAAGUUUGGAUACCUCAAUCCUUCUUAGAAGGGACAACAAAAUACCCAUGGAAGGAGUUACAGAGACGAAGUGUGGAGCAGAGACUGAAGGAAGAUCAUCCAGAGACUGCCCCACCUGGGAACCCAUCCCAUAUACAACCACCAAAACCAGACAGUGUUGUGGAUGCCAAUAAGUGCUUGCUGAAAGAAGACUGAAAUGGCUAUCUCUUGGGAGGCUCUGCCAGUGCCUGAAAAAUACAGAAGUGGAUGCUCACAGCCAUCCAUUGAACGGAGCACAUGGUUUCCAAUGAAGGAGCUAGAGAAAGGAUCCAAGGAGCUGAGGGGUUUGCAGCCCCAUAGGAGGAACAACAAUAUGAACUAUCCAGUAUCCUCAGAGCUCCCUGGAACUAAAUCACCAACCAAAGAAAACACAUGGUGGGACUCAGAGCUCUACCUGAAUAUGUAGCAAAGGAUGGCCUAGUUGAUCAUCAAUGGGAGGAGAGGCCCUUGGUCCUGUGAAGGUUCUAUGACCCAGUACAGGAGAAUGCCAGAGCCAGGAAAUGGGAGAGGGUGGGUUGAUGAUCAGGGGAAGCGAGGAAGGGUUAGGGGGUUUUUAGAGGGAAAACCAGGGAAGGGGAUACCACUUGAAAUGUAAAUAAAUAAAAUAUCUAAUAAAAAAUAAAAAAUU
RNAcentral lists this long non-coding RNA (2600 nucleotides) under Mus musculus (house mouse). RNAcentral describes it as "predicted gene, 44271". Lineage: Eukaryota; Metazoa; Chordata; Mammalia; Rodentia; Muridae. The record is from RNAcentral.